AAACUGAGUCACCACGAUUAAAUGUUUUCUUUUAUAAGAGUUGUCAUGGUCAGUCCAAGGCUUAUCUAUUGCAUUCCAGAUGUGUUGACCCCUGGGAUUUCCCCAAAUGUGGAACACUGGACUGCAUAGUUUGUGGUAGUGGGGACCACACUGGCACUUUCUUC
RNAcentral lists this small nuclear RNA (164 nucleotides) under Microtus ochrogaster (prairie vole). RNAcentral describes it as "U1 spliceosomal RNA (ENSMOCG00000003609.1)". Lineage: Eukaryota; Metazoa; Chordata; Mammalia; Rodentia; Cricetidae. The record is from RNAcentral.